This is a non-coding RNA of Bos taurus (domestic cattle), 73 nucleotides long. The record is from Rfam. NCBI's taxonomy places the organism in Eukaryota, Metazoa, Chordata, Mammalia, Artiodactyla, Bovidae.
UCCCUGAUAGCUCAGAUGAUAAAGAAUCUGCCUGCAAUGCAGGAGACCCCAGUUUGAUUCCUGGGUCGGGGAG